This is a long non-coding RNA of Rhea pennata, 2301 nucleotides long. RefSeq lists it as uncharacterized. The record is from RefSeq and is a predicted model, not a curated record. The transcript is spliced from 5 exons. Lineage: Eukaryota; Metazoa; Chordata; Aves; Rheiformes; Rheidae.
UGCUCAAGGACUACAGCUUUCCGAGUUAGCAUAUCCUGGAUGGCUUCAUCUUUCAUUUUUGGCAUACUGCGCUUCAGGAAGGCAUUUACGAACGCUCUGGCCUCCUCGGAUCCUUGAGGCUGACGAGACACAUUUGGAAGAAAGCUAACCUAAGUGGGAGAGUACCCUGAAGGAAGGACCGCGGCGCGGCUUUCUGGUAGCCCCUAUGGAAAGCAAUAUAAAGCUAUAUUUGGCUGCUUGUCUGCUGUGAGCUUUUGAGUACAAUCUGCCGUGAUUAUGUGAGCUGCUUGAGCUCCAUUUGGCUGUUUUGGGAAUGUAGGUGUUGCUCAAAUAAAAAUAGAUGACUUCAGCAUGACCACGGAAUUGACUGAGCACAUUCCCUGUGCGGACUGUACAGCAUGGCUGUUUCCUACUUCGGAGAAACCACAGCUUGUAAAUUCUACAACGUUCCCAGGUGUUCAGCAGCUGGCCUGACCUGGCCACGACGACAGGGAGGCUGCAGAAAAGCUGCACAGCAGUGGGCAACACAGGUGUGGGCAGUGCCGGCACCAAGGACACCACCGCGCCAUGAUGCCUGCACCAUUUACCUGUGGAGUAACUGCAACUGUUCCUAUGUGAACCAACCAAAGGCAAAGAUGCCUGGUCUGUGCUGCUUGCAGAGGCACAGAGGACUCCCUGCCCACUGAACAGCCUCCUGCAUUGGUGCUCAGAGAUCUGUGGUACUGUGAGACUGCCAGGGGACAAAAACACCAUGAAAGCCCCCAAACAAUGAAAAAUCCCUGUAUUUUUUCUCCGCUUUAAGCGAACAUUUUAUCAUCUAAACACUCCCUUUUUUGAUCAGAAAUCAUUUUCAUGCAUUGGUAUUUCUGCGCUCUCCCACAGCCCUGUAACACAUUUUUCCUUACCCAGCAGUAGACAUCCAUAAGGCCCAACAGCAGUGUGUCCCCAAGGGCCAGCAGGCUGGCCAGGCUGGAGAGGGCUUGCAGCACAUGCCCCAGGCCAAACUCCUUUGACAGGUCUGGGCCUCCUGGCUCUCAGGACGCAGUCGACUAUUCAAAACAAGCAAAUUACUCGCUUGCUACAAAUUAAUAUUCUCCCAACUCUCUGCAAUUAGUCUUUGCUAAAAGCAUUAAGACUUUAACAUGUUUGAUCCCAUCAAUUUUCUGUUCUUUGCUAAUUAAAUAGAUGUACUAGGGAAGUUUGAAUAAUAACUGCCUGAAGUUUGAGGAUAAUAAACAAAUGAACUCUGCCUGCCUCUGGCUAAACAUGAAAUUUACUGUUUAGUAACAAAUACAACAGAGGCAGCACAUACAUUAACAAACUUAGUUUUGAUACACACAUUUGAGAGCACAUUAUUUAUUUACUUACUAAUUCUAAGUGAGAAGACACUCCAAAGUGUUUUAUGCAGUGAGAAACGUAUCAGACUUUUGCAUUCUCCAUCACAGAGUUAGUGAACACUCUUGUCUUUCUCCGCUUUGGUGGGCCUCUGACCCUCUUGCCAUUCGUAACAGUAUGUUCAGGACUGCAUGCUUUACUUUCCUUAGGAGUUAUGCCAGAAAAGGAACAUAAGCAGGAAAUAGUUAAUUUUGCUUUUUUGCUAGGUCUUGCUGGGUCUUGGUGUUUUGAAGGUUAUCUGUAUGCUAUAAAAACUACUUUUGUUCGAUGUAUUUUUUUUACAUGUGCAUGGAUCUAGCAUCAGCAAUGUCACACUGCUGUAAAUAUUUUUUAUGAAAUCCAUUAACUUCAGUGAAUUUAUACCAACUUAACUUAGCAAACUAUGGCUGAUGAUGCAGACUGGAAAUAUUACAAGAAAAGGUGCAAAGUUCUAUCGAUUUUCUCUUAGGAAAAAAUGUGUGUUUCCCUAUGAUUUUAUUACAGAUGACUCAGCUUUGGCCCCUAUUAGCCAUCACUCAUGUCCCCAACUCGGCUGCUUUGGUAUCUUGACCAGGAGGAGCCAUUACACAGGGCAUCCUCCUGAACAAGUAGCAGGGGCACUGUGCCCACCUGCUCCAGCCCACCAACCUCGCACAGCACGUCAAAGACUUACCCAGCCUACCACUGUUCUGUUUUGUUGUUGUUUUGUUUGGUUUUUGGACUUUCUGCCCAGCUUUCAGUGGUGACUGCAGGAAACACAAAGCCUUCUACAACUGUGCAGUCCAAGCACUUUAUCUAAUAGACUCUGACAGCACACACCACAAGGAAUGCUGAGAUAUAUGAAAGAGCAACAUUUGCCACUAGCCUCUAUCCAUAAAGGGUAAAGCAAAAACUCAGUUUGCCCUUUGUAAAUAUAAUCAGCAGAAG